GUAGGUGCAAGCGUUGUCCGGAAUUACUGGGCGUAAAGAGUUCGUAGGCGGUUUGUUCGCGUCGUUUGUGAAAACCAGCAGCUCAACUGCUGGCUUGCAGGCGAUACGGGCAGACUUGAGUACUGCAGGGAGACUGGAAUUCCUGGUGUAGCGGUGAAAUGCGCAGAUAUCAGGAGGAACACCGGUGGCGAAGGCGGGUCUCUGGGCAGUAACUGACGCUGAGGACGAAAGCGUGGUAGCGAACAGGAUUAGAUACCCCUGGUAGUCCACGCCGUAAACGGUGGGCGCUAGGUGUGGGUUCCUUCCACGGAAUCCGUGCCGUAGCUAACGCAUUAAGCGCCCCGCCUGGGGAGUACGGCCGCAACGGCUA
This 370-nucleotide ribosomal RNA is filed under the name uncultured bacterium. Its description in RNAcentral is "bacterial SSU rRNA". It matches the Rfam family "Bacterial small subunit ribosomal RNA", at positions 528 to 896 of the family's 1533-position model. The record is from RNAcentral.